Molecule: ribosomal RNA, 367 nt
Filed under: uncultured bacterium
Lineage: Bacteria
Description: bacterial SSU rRNA
Rfam family: Bacterial small subunit ribosomal RNA
Source: RNAcentral
UGGGGAAUAUUGCACAAUGGGCGAAAGCCUGAUGCAGCAACGCCGCGUGAGUGAUGAAGGCCUUCGGGUUGUAAAGCUCUGUCUUCUGGGACGAUAAUGACGGUACCAGAGGAGGAAGCCACGGCUAACUACGUGCCAGCAGCCGCGGUAAUACGUAGGUGGCAAGCGUUGUCCGGAUUUACUGGGCGUAAAGGAUGCGUAGGCGGAUACUUAAGUCAGAUGUGAAAAUCCCGGGCUUAACUUGGGAACUGCAUUUGAAACUGGGUAUCUAGAGUGCGGGAGAGGAAAGUGUAAUUCCUAGUGUAGCGGUGAAAUGCGUAGAGAUUAGGAAGAACACCAGUGGCGAAGGCGACUUUCUGGACCGUAA